This is a long non-coding RNA of Cyanistes caeruleus (blue tit), 654 nucleotides long. RefSeq lists it as uncharacterized. Lineage: Eukaryota; Metazoa; Chordata; Aves; Passeriformes; Paridae. The record is from RefSeq and is a predicted model, not a curated record.
AUGAGGCAUAUGUUUCUGACAGCCUCACAGCACACAGCCUGUUGCAAGAUGCCUUUCAAAAGAAGCAGCAGCCUCACCAUGUGUGGAAAAGAUGGGUUUGCCAUUACAGUGCCUGAUGCAGUUAAAAAAAUCUAGCAAGCACUUAGUAACAGCAGCUGGCCUCUAAACGUGUCCAGCAAUUAUUAAACAGGGAUGUGGAAAAUCACAAGUUAUUUUCACAGAAGUUCAAAAAUUAACAUGUAAGAGAGAAAAAGGAAGCAAAUUCAAGACUUGAAGACUACUGAAGAUUUGAAGAUGGUUCACUAAAAACCCACAGGCUAACAAAGAAACUACCAGUUCUCUUGAAAUGCCUCACAUAUACACAUUAAUACCAUAAUGUCUUGUUCUGACUUUUGCUUCAUGCCACAGACAUUUCUGCCAUCUCUAGCAGGAAGAGUCAUGGAUCAGAAAGCAUACUCUGAACAAUCACUGGCCCAAAGAAGAGGGCCUGUGUUUAAUAAACUGUCAGAGACAACCUCACAAGGCUACCCUGGAAGCAGCAAGCUGAAACAAUGGACAAAGACUUCUCAAAACUCAAAAUACUUUUUACACUUCUGUGAGUCCUAUUUCCUGUGUUAACAAUGAGGCAGGCUACAGAAGAGCAAAAGGCAAUUA